AACACACAGAUUUGAAGGAGGAAAAGGCAGCACCUCACAGGCUCCCUGUGCCAAAAGGAAAAGGGACACUGCCCAUGGAGCCCUCCAAGCAGACACCUGACAGUUUGAAAGCAGAGGUUCUUCUUCAGGUGAUGAACUGUAAGAAUGAACUCUAGACAGCCCAUUCCCUCAAUUACAACUAAUAUUAGCUGAGCAUGAAGCACUUUAAGUUCCCAACAGCAAAGCCAGAAUUAUCCUGUCAGCUGGGAGUAAAUGGCAAGAUUGUUCCAUCUUAAAUCAUCCCUCAGUUCGAAUCAAGCGAAUCUGAGUGAAGUGGAGCAAAAUAACAGUGAAAACUUCAUCAUUCUGCCCAGAACAACAGAUCAAUGAAUGAUUAGGGAAGCCAAUGUUUCUCAUAAACACUACACAACAUCCAUCGGGAACGCUGGGUUGUGGCGGAGGCACCAAGGAGAGCUAUAUUGUGGGUUUUAUUUUAGCUGCACAAACGUUAUUUAUCCAGUUGCUGAACCUGAUCUGGUAAAGCCCUUCUGCCUCAGCUGACCGGACACAUGUCCCUGGCAUGGCAUCAGGGCAAUGGAAACCUGCCACAGUGGUCAGUUCACACUUGUGGGACCCCAGACAAUUAAUUAUCUUUUAGGGUAAUUUUCCCCUUUUCCAUAAAAGCUAUGAACAUUUUGAUCUACUUCAAACUCACUUGAAAGCGCCAAUAAACACAAGUGCAGGAGAUGAUGAUCACCUGAAGAACAAGUGUGUUUAAUUCACAAACAUUAAAAAAACAGUACAUAUAUUCAACAAAUUCACAUGAGAGACAAAGACAAAAGCCUUUGCUUUUUCAUCACUAUUUUACAGAGAGACAGAGGUGCUUUGGUGCCCAGGGGAAGUCGGGGUGCCAUGUCAGGGUUACAAAGAAAGGCAGCUACUGGGAAAAGCUGGGGGACACACACAGGAGUUUCCACAAGGAAGGGUUUUCUCCUUCUUUCACCACAAGAAGGGAUACAGAAAAGGCAAAGAACUUUAAAUACACAAAGGGAAUAAGGCAAGUGGACGCUUUUCAUCCCAUCUGUUGCAAAUACAGUAAUUUCUAUUUUCAGGGGGUAUCCAUUUCACGAGGCAGCAGCGUGGCUCCUUGCAUGGCUCAGCUGCCAGCAGAUAACAGACGUCUCCUGACUCCAAUCCAAGGAGUCAGACUGACCCUCCAUCAUGAACUCUGGGCUUUGUUGCAUUACAUUAAAUCCUAACAAAGUCAGAUUUUAAGUGCUACAAAGGGAAAACAUUUCCUAAGUGCGUCAUCCUUCUUUCCUCCCUAGCAAAAGUUAACAGCAGCAAAGUCACCAUUACAAUAACAAACAUGAAUAGGCACCACCGCGUUACCUCCUUCAGAAGCUUGACAUCUCAAGCCAACUCGAACAGAGCAUUUCACAUUUUGUUUUUUGAUCAAUUAAAAGGUACCUGAUGAGCACUGCCCAACAUCCAAGUGGCCAAAACUUUUUCCAGAGGAGACAAAUUUUUACUGUGAGGAAAAAAACCCACAAUACAGCAAAGUCAACAUUUGCUUAACUUUAAAUAAGUUUUCAAGACAAUCAUAAUAUCCACCUUCACAAAACUCAAUCGAGCAUGUUUGCGAGUGUGCUGGUAGCCAUCAAUUAAUUUUCAUUACUUGUUCAUACAUUUUCACCCAUGCAAUGCAAUUCACCUGUCACUGUCAUAAUUAAAAAAUUAAUGUUUACUGAAUAACUACAAAGUGGCCUCUAAGCAGCUAUAGCACUUGCAAUUCUAACUCUAAGGGAAACAUUAAUAUCCAAAAUGUAGAAAUAGCAAGCCUAUUGCAAUUUAUGGAGCUCAAUUAGCUGUUCCAUGCAUUGCUCAUUCAGAGUUAUGAAUUUUUAAUGACAACGAUAAACUGAGAUUUUCAAAGGAGUUCAGCAGACUUAUUUAUGGGAUUCAGGCGCAUGGCUGUUGCCAGCUUCUCCCAAAUCCCCAUCCAUAACCAUGAGAAAUAUGUAGUGCAUACUGACAUUUCUCAUGUCUGAGAGGACACUGCAUUUAGGGACCUCAAAGCUGACACAGCAUGCACGUACAGAAUUUUGUUCCACAACAAUCUCCUCUCUUGUCUCCUUCCAUGCUGUUCAUCCUUUAAUUACGUCAACACUUGUGAAAUUGUGAUGUUAAGCCCUCCUGAGCAUCAGUGGUUUUUCAGGUACUCUGCACAAGCUUCAAUAAAAAUCCCUCAAGUUUGAGCACACUGAUCAAUAUCAGAACACAGCUUGUAGAAAACAUUUUUCUAGGGCCUGAUCCAGAAGCAGUGUAUCCUAACUAGAACUGCCUUGGCAGCUGCAGAGAAUUUAUUGUCCAAAACACUACAGUUGCAGGUUAUAUUCAAACUGGUUAUCAAAAAAAGAAGAAUUUCUGGUAGUCUUUCAGUUUGCUUUAAGAUGUUUUAAAAGCAAAGGAAGGGCUUGGAUGUGAUUUUGUCAAGAGCUGUACCUGAGGAGCCUUGCACUGCUGCAUGCUGCAGAAUGAAAAUGUGAUUCAGUUAUUUAAGACAGCUGGUAGGAACUUUAACUCAUAUACUUGUCCUCACAGACUUCCAGCCUUCUUUGGUAAUAUGCUUACAAAACAUUAAUAACAUCCUGAGCAGCAGAUCAGUGGAUUGAACACAGCAUUCAAUUGCCUCAACUCUGAAGCAGCAGUCAGUUAGAUGCAUCUUUUGUUAAGGUGGUGGAAAUUUGUAAAUGAAGAUUUUGCUACAUAAUUUAUAGAACCCAUCUCGGGAGUUGUUGAACCAAAGCUUUGUUUUCUGAAUGGCUGGUCUUUACAUUUCGUUAUUCCAAGAGUGGGAAUUUUCAUACAUUAAAAUAGGAGAAUUAGCUGUGCAGUUAUUUUUUUAAUGGAGUUUGAUGUACAAAUCACACCGUUGCAUAUAUGAGGUAAGUUAGGCUGUGUCUAAGCUAAUACACAUUACAGUAGGGUCUAGGGAGGGCUUGGAAGCAAAGCAAAUGCCAGUCUAGAAACCUUUAAACUGCAGAUCAAUGCCCAAAUCUGGCAUUUGGAAAGGAAGGUGAUGGACAAAAACACAGGGAGCCUUUGAAAUGCGUAUCUUGACUCAUUUUCUAAAGUAUUGCUGGGAAAACAAUGUGGGUCUUGAACAACAAAAUAAUAAUAAACAAAAUAAUAAAAGAAUGUGGGAAUGUGAACAUUAAAUAGAAAAAUAGGUAAAUAACAGGACCAAAAACCCCAAUCCUUUUGCUUUCAAAUUUUGAAAUAUAGUUUCUAAAGAUGUACCCAAGUAUUCUUUCUGUUGAUUGAGUUCGACUUAAGCUCAGGUGUCAGCUUGCCCCACAUGUCUAUGCCUACUUUUCCAUUAAAAUUAUCGUCUGAAGAGAGAAAUUGAGCAGGCUUACAUAAGUAUCUGAGUGUCUUCCCAAUAUUUUCAGUCUAAAACAUAAUUCUUUUGUUUGUGUGUCUGCUUAGAAGUGUUUGCUUAAACUUUUAGGUGCCCAGCCUGGCUGAGUGCACACAAUAAGGCCUAAACUGUUUAUGUUGAGCACAAGGAUGACCUAGACAAAGUCUGCACUCUCUAACAAUCUUCACAGCCAACAUCUCUCUGUCCUGACGAAAGCUAUGGAUGAGUACAUGUUUAGCAAGUCAAUAAGAAUUUUGACAUUACACUGUAAUACCUGAUUGGUCUUCAACAUAUUCGCAGAGUAGUUUCCAGGAGAGUUUAUUGGAUCAUCUCCCAAGGGAAAACUUAGUCGUAAAUUAGAUUGGAAAGACUAAAAUGAGGGCAUUAUUCUGUCACAAAAUGCUUUUGCAUUUGGGCUGUUUAGUAGUAGCUACAUUUUGCAGGCACUCAAAGCAUAUCAGCUUAUAGCUUGCCCAGUUACAGAAUUUCCAGCGGGAGAGACUGAUGCCUUUUACUUUCUCUGCUUUUGGGAGCUUCAAUCAAGUAAAUCAUAGUUUCUUUCCAGGCAACAUAAAAUUGCACAAACUGCUACUUCAUAAACUAAAUAAUAUCAACACUCUGGAAGGAUUUUAGAAAAGCAAUAACCAUGUGAAAAGACAUCCCCUUUUACCAAUUUCACUCAGACAGCCAUAGCCCGUGAGAAGCUGUGAGCGCAUCUUGGGAUGCUUUCCCUAGGAAAGUCCAAGCAAGGGCUGUCUUAUCAAACUGAUGCCCGAAACUGCUUUGGAGAGGCAGUGUGGGCAAGCAGCAGCACAAGGUCUGCAAUGGGAUGUCUGCAUCCAAUAUCAGCUUCGACAUUUCUUUUUUAUACUUAGACAGCGGAGUCCUUGGAGCAGAGGUGCUCUCCUAACAACGCAUGGAGCCGUGACCCGAGUUGUUACCUUCACUGCACAAUGCUUCACGGUCAUAUUUACACAAAGUGCUGGUUGCACUGCCCCAGGCAUCUUGAGAUGUCAGUGGACUGAAUCAAAGCAGUGUAUUUAUUUUGGCAAAACAAGAUAUCACGUACCAAAGAAGAAAAGAGCAUUCCAUCCCUCGCUGUUCCUAUUUGUGAUAAAGUCCCAUCACAUUUUUGCUUGUGUCUAAGCUGAACUAAGUCUUGGGAGGCUUGUUACUUGGUCCUCUGGUUCAUGAGACUGGUUAGAGCACAUCAGGGAACUCAUCCAUCCAUGUCCAAGUCUUCCCAAGGAGAGAAAGUGGAAGAAAGACAAGAGGAGGAGAAGGAAGUGGAGGAGGAAGACUGAUGCUCAGCCUCUCACAGCUCAGAAGCACUUCCAGCUUCUCCAGCUUGCAUGCAGUGUGAGACAGCAAGUGGAUCAAGAGGAAUAAAAUACACAGGAAACAAAAAGGAGAGGUAAAGAAGGAUGUCUUUCCCAUAGUGGUUAUGAAAGAUCAAAAAUCUGAUCAGAAGUCAAAUGGAAGAGUACACAUGACAAAUGCAGUGCAGGCUGUAAUGGUGCCCAGAAUUACAAACCAUGGUAAGCAAACUGCCUGCGAAGGUCCUAGGAAUGUUUUGUAGUCAUUCAACAGAAGAAUGAAGUUUUAUUUGUUCAUUUGAUGUAUGAUGAGUAACAGGCUUCGUACAUCAGACAUUGUGAUUUCUUUUUUCCUAGUACACAGCCAGGCUAGUUGGUAGGAAUUAUGGGAAAAUCUAUAGUCAGAUCAAUUAAAUGCGUUAAUUAAAAUUUCUUCACCCUCUCCUAUGGAAGCAAUGGGAGCCCUCAGUUGGCAUAAUUCCCAUUCCUCAGAGCAAUGCAGAAUGAAUUAAACCUCCCAGAGAUCUGGUACAGAGGUGGAGCUGAACAACACAGGACUUUUCUAUUUUUCUAUUCAAAGUGCAGGUGGAGGUGCCAGGCCACUCCUGAAAGCAAAAGGCUGUUUCUAUUUCUGGAUGCAGGAACUGACUACACAUACUGAAAAUAUGUUAACCUUGCCAAAUUUCAACUCAACAUUCUCAGUCUUCAUGCUCACAAGAAGCAAAUCUCUGGCUAUCUAACCCUGAAAGAGCAGUUUAUUUAUUUUUGGAGAGCUUUGCUUUUCUUUCCCGAGAAAAUACUUUCCUAAAAACAGACUUCCAGUUUGUUUCAUAUGCGCAACAACCACUCUUUAAUGAGCAUUUUCAAAGCACUUCUUGGGAGGAACUAACUUUAUUGGCACUCUAGGACAUUUUUGCACAUAGAAAUUGCUGUUGUUAACUCUCUGGUUUCACUGAAGAGGAGAAUUUCCAUCCAAAUAUUGGAUUUUAGGAACUCUUAUUUCUAGCUGAGCAUAUAUAAAUACAACAUCUGAGCUCAACAUCACACCUACCUACUGAAACUAUUUCAGCCUUUGUAACUCUAAUCUCUUCAAGAAUAGAAACCUUGGAGAGAUUCAUUAAUUGUUGGCUUUUGAUUAGGUUUAUUUCCACUAAAAUAAAAAAUUAAAAGUCUUUUUGUUAUUUUUAAA
Molecule: long non-coding RNA, 5908 nt
Organism: Pipra filicauda (Wire-tailed manakin)
Lineage: Eukaryota; Metazoa; Chordata; Aves; Passeriformes; Pipridae
Exons: 2
Source: RefSeq, a predicted model, not a curated record